CUUUGCAUUUUGAAAAUGCUGUCUUUAAAACAGAAAAUUUUGAAAAUGCUUGCUCCUCAGAGUACAUGUGUGCUCUACAGCUUGACACUUCUUUGCCCUUUCUGCACUUUUUGAUAUAGAUAUUCACAAAAUGUAAAAUAGCUGACAUUAUCACUAAUAUAAAUAUAAAUCAACACUUUAUAAUAUGAAAAGGCAGAUAUGUUUCUGGCCUUGGGUCUUAUUUUCCCAACCAGAAUCCUUCACACCAGGGUCUCGGAACAACUGCGGGACAAGCUCAUGCUGUACACACUCUCUCUGCACUCCUGAGGUCAGUCUCUACACUCCUUUUGAUGCUUCCUGUGAUGUUGGUACUUUCAAUAGCACUUGCAUUACCUAUGACACUGACAGGAGGCCUGAUCUAUAUCUGGCUUCUCUGUUCAUAAGCAGGUAAGAAAUUAGAUGAGGGAAAAUCUUGGGACAUAAUAACCUGUAAACCAAAGCAAGAGAUUUUCAGAGUCAGAUGCUAAUGAGUUCUGUUCUCUAUGCUGUCCCAUUAAAAUAGAUUCCUUAGCCUAUUUUUCCCUUGUGAACCAAGUUUUCAGAAAUAAACAGCUGGGACCCAAGGCAUCUGCAUAGCAGGACAAAGCUUUUAUCUCUCUCAUAGGAAGGACCUUCCAGACUUUGCCAGCACGGCAAGCUCUCUAGACUAGAGGAACACCUUUUCUUAAUCAUUUACUCACAGAAGUAUCACUUUGAUAUUUUAUGUUUACUUUUUUAUCAAAGACCCCUCAAAAUUACACUUACAUUUUUAGAUCUGGAAAAAGAAUGUUGAAGUGAUUGCUAUUUUAUGUUAGGGUACCAACGUCAUACUGCAGUUGGCAAAGAUAAAAAUUAGAAACAGUCUCUAGAACCCCACAUUCUGGCCAGUGUGGGCCAACAGCAUUAGCUUAUGCCCCUCCAGGUCUGUACCUUCAGUGAAAACCAAAUACCAGAACUAGGAAUUGGUCUCCUAGGAGCCUCUGAAAGGCAAAAUCUGUACUUUUCAGGGACCUCCUGACUUGGGCCAUUCACAUCCAAACUGGGACAUAUGCAACAUUGCUUCAGAGGUGAAGGCAAACCUCACCAAUGCAUCCAGGAGUCGACCUCUAAAUCUGAGAGAGGAAAUGGAUCAGAAAUCACUAGCACGUGCCACAACUAGAAGGACCCACAACUAAAAUAUACAACUAUGUACUGGGGGGAUUUGGGGAUAAAAAAGAAAAAAAAGAAAAAGAAAUCACUAGCAUAUAAAGAGAUUAGAUUCUCGUUGGUAGAGACUCUUACAAUUGCUGUAGUGCCAUCUUCAAACCAGAAUGAAGCCAAAAGUGAGAUUAUAUCCAGGGUUAGGAUUCUCCAUGUAUACCUCAGAGGGAAUCUUGAGCCCAAAUAACAAGUGAGCAUGGAUUGGUCUCAGUGUAAGUUGCUUUGGGCCAAUAGAAUAUAUCCUACCAUUAUCGAGCUAACUACAUGCAUUUGAAAACUUUAAGUUGAACCACACUAUAAGGAAAAUAAGACUGUAUCUAUAAACUACCUACUUGAAAAAUAGUCAUUUUACCUGCUCUAAAUUUACCUUUUUACUAGAAUACCAGUGAUUACUAAUGCACUAGAUACGAUGAGCUACUCUAUGUUAAAUCUACCCACAACUUACUUUCCCUGGAAUACUUUUAUUUUCUAGAAUACUGGUUUUAUAACUAGGUCUGUGACCUGCUGAAAGUCCUGUUGCUUCCUGAAGUAGAAGAGAAUGAAGAAAAGCGACAGCUGUGAGAACAGAACUGCUGCAGAUACACACGUUCUUUCAUAAGGUAAUUUUUUAAGAAUCGAAGUACAAAUGGAGGAAACAAAUUGAUGGAAUGCUGACAAUAGGACUGAAUUAGAAAGAAAUCAUGGCUAUUUGGGGACAACAUAGAAGAAAACGUGUAAUAGAAGAUUCUGAGAAAACUAUCAAUGUGAUGUAUUUCGAGUCCUUAGGACUUUUAAAGUUCAAUCCUUGAAGAGAGGUUUUACAGAUUGCAAUGUCAUCUUCUACUGAAGUCUUGCUAAUUUAUGAAGAUAAAUAGAAUUGUUUAACCACCCUGAGUGUAUUUGGAAGCUGGAUAGAGGUGAGAAUCUGGACUCUGACAUUCAGCAUAAGGAUGUUUUCUCUGACGCAAAUGCUGAAGAGAAGUAAAAAAUGAACAAGAAACAAGAAUGUGAUGUGUACAGCAAGAUAAAUGUUCCAUCACCAAUUUUACAAAGUAGAUGGCUUAAAGAUAAGUAAGUCCAAAAAGUGCAUUCUGUUUCUUCAAUUUUAGCAAGGAAAUCAAACAGAAAUUCACUUAAGCAAAUAUAAGAGAGUACAUUAUGUGAUUUGGGGUUCGCAUAGAUAACAGGCCAGGGGGUUGGGUUUGCUUGCUGUAGGGUUGCAAAUUAUUUACAGAUCAAAAUAAGGAGAGAAUGUGAUGGUGGAUUAAAAUCUUACUGUAAAUAUGUUUAGGGCUAAAUCAUAGAAAAAACAGAGUGAUGUUAAGGAUUAUGAAUUUUUUUCUUAUAAGCAAUUGAAAACACUAAACUUUUUAAAAUAGAUAAAGCUUAACUUCUGCUAUACAGAUAAUUUUGGAAACAGCGUGAAUGAUGGAUUGGAAACAUAUUGGAAGCAGACAGUUUAGGAGAAGAUGAUGUACAUAUGCUCAGGAUAGUGUUUCAAUGGCCUGACAGUCUCCUCUACUCUAAAUUUGGGAGCUGGCAAAGAUCAGAAAUAAAACACCCCAGAAUCAUGGCUGGGGGAUGGGCCCUUCUUUUUGCCAAGGGGCUUACUUACCCAUCUAGUUAAGGAACAGUGACAAGAUCAAAGCAAACUAGUUCUCAUAUUUCAGAUAAGUAUUAGUUGAGAUUCUCUAGUAAACUGCAAAUCCAUCUCUCACCCUCACACCAUACUGAGUUAUAGAGGAGCUCUUCAGAAAACGUCAAGGAAUCAGGUGUCAUUUUGUGUGUGUGUGUGAAAUUCUUUGCCACAUACCCAAUUGUAAAGCUGAAAAAAUAUCCCCAUUCCCAUCACUUCUGUUACUUCUUCACCCAUCCACCAUGUUUAGUUAGCCUCUUUAGAGGAAGCAGGACCUUCCACUCAUUUGUUUCAUUUAUUCAAAGUUAAAGUCCUCAGGAAAUAGCUAUUUACCCAGUCUGUUGCUUAGAGCCGUUCCAUCUCCUCCCUGCUUCUCCUCAAAACAGACCCUACUUGCUAUCUUAUUUCCUCGGUAUCAUAUAUGAUUUAAUCAUAUAUAAUAGUAAUAGUUUAUCUGGAAAAAUAACCUGGUUUACUUGUUAAAGUACUAGCUUUUAGGAAACUCUUGGGCCUUAAAUUGAAGCACUACCUCUUAAGCAUUUAUGAGUUACACAACAAUCAGCCUGAGAUUUUAUUCUAGGAUUGUAUUUACUGGCUUUGAGAUCA
Equus caballus (horse) is the source of this 3439-nucleotide non-coding RNA. Lineage: Eukaryota; Metazoa; Chordata; Mammalia; Perissodactyla; Equidae. The record is from RefSeq and is a predicted model, not a curated record.